CUGCUGUCGCUUUUAUUUGUUCUCAUACAUUGUAUAACAUUAUUCCUUGAAGAUAAGCAAGACAGUAAGACGUUCUGUGUCAGGGUCCGCCACAACAACUAGUCUCAACACAAGUUCGUCUUAUACACUCACAAUCGCAAAUUGCUUUACACUGUGCACAGUUGUUAAUAGACCGAACAUUUCUCGUAUGCCUUGUCGGGUUCUUUGUGUCUUUCGUUAUCAAUUGAAUAGAUUGGUACGCUAUUAAUCAAAUAAAAAGAAAAGUUAUUAUCAUUAUUAAAAAGUAACAUGUGAGUUUAUAACACAUCAUAUUGAAUAUGUGGUGUUGACUUUAUUGACUAUAUCAAAUUGAUAAAUGUGACAUAAUGGAACUGUAUAUUAUCAAGAUAUGUUGCUGUUUAUACUGAGUAUAUCCCUAUACCAGUUGGUCAAUACAGGAGACGCUUAAUAUGUU
This 454-nucleotide long non-coding RNA is filed under the name Mytilus galloprovincialis (Mediterranean mussel). The record is from RNAcentral. Lineage: Eukaryota; Metazoa; Mollusca; Bivalvia; Mytilida; Mytilidae.